UACGGGGGGUGCGAGCGUUGUCCGGAAUCACUGGGCGUAAAGGGCGCGUAGGUGGUUUGAUAAGGGUGUGGUGAAAGUCCGGGGCUCAACCCCGGAUCUGCCGUGCCGACUGUCAAACUCGAGGGCUGUAGAGGCAGACGGAAUUCCGGGUGUAGCGGUGGAAUGCGUAGAGAUCCGGAGGAAGACCGGUGGCGAAGGCGGUCUGCUGGGCAGUUUCUGACACUGAGGCACGAAAGCGUGGGGAGCAAACAGG
Molecule: ribosomal RNA, 253 nt
Filed under: uncultured bacterium
Lineage: Bacteria
Description: partial 16S ribosomal RNA
Rfam family: Bacterial small subunit ribosomal RNA
Source: RNAcentral